Molecule: ribosomal RNA, 305 nt
Filed under: uncultured bacterium
Lineage: Bacteria
Description: bacterial SSU rRNA
Rfam family: Bacterial small subunit ribosomal RNA
Source: RNAcentral
UUUGCCCUACGGGGGGCAGCAGUGAGGAAUAUUGGUCAAUGGCCGAGAGGCUGAACCAGCCAAGUCGCGUGAGGGAUGACGGCCCUACGGGUUGUAAACCUCUUUUGUCGGGGAGCAAGACCCGCCUCGUGCAGGCGGAGCGAGAGUACCCGAAGAAAAAGCAUCGGCUAACUCCGUGCCAGCAGCCGCGGUAAUACGGAGGAUGCGAGCGUUAUCCGGAUUUAUUGGGUUUAAAGGGUGCGCAGGCGGACCAUCAAGUCAGCGGUAAAAUCGCGGGGCUCAACAUCACUCCGCCGUUGAAACUG